GACGAACGCUGGCGGCGUGCUUAACACAUGCAAGUCGAACGGAAAGGCCCUGCUUUUGUGGGGUGCUCGAUUGGCGAACGGGUGAGUAACCCGUGAGUAACCUGCCCUUGACUUUGGGUUAACUUCAGGAAACUGGGGCUAAUCCCGGAUAGGAGCUCCUGCUGCAUGGUGGGGGUUGGAAAGUUUCGGCGGUUGGGGAUGGACUCGCGGCUUAUCAGCUUGUUGGUGGGGUAGUGGCUUACCAAGGCUUUGACGGGUAGCCGGCCUGAGAGGGUGACCGGCCACAUUGGGACUGAGAUACGGCCCAGACUCCUACGGGAGGCAGCAGUGGGGAAUAUUGCACAAUGGGCGGAAGCCUGAUGCAGCAACGCCGCGUGCGGGAUGACGGCCUUCGGGUUGUAAACCGCUUUCGCCUGUGACGAAGCGUGAGUGACGGUAAUGGGUAAAGAAGCACCGGCUAACUACGUG
RNAcentral lists this ribosomal RNA (468 nucleotides) under uncultured bacterium. Its description in RNAcentral is "partial 16S ribosomal RNA". It matches the Rfam family "Bacterial small subunit ribosomal RNA", at positions 28 to 507 of the family's 1533-position model. The record is from RNAcentral.